CAGGAUGAACGCUAGCGACAGGCUUAACACAUGCAAGUCGAGGGGCAGCGGGGUUGUAGCAAUACAACUGCCGGCGACCGGCGCACGGGUGAGUAACACGUAUGUAACCUGCCCUCUGCAGGGGGAUAAGCGGAAGAAAUUCCGUCUAAUACCGCAUAAUACAAUUUGGAGACAUCUCCGGGUUGUCAAAGGAGUGAUCCGGCAGAGGAUGGACAUGCGGCGCAUUAGCUAGUCGGCGGGGUAACGGCCCACCGAGGCUACGAUGCGUAGGGGUUCUGAGAGGAAGGUCCCCCACACUGGUACUGAGACACGGACCAGACUCCUACGGGAGGCAGCAGUGAGGAAUAUUGGUCAAUGGGCGGAAGCCUGAACCAGCCAAGUCGCGUGAGGGAAGACGGUCCUAUGGAUUGUAAACCUUCUUUUGCAGGGGAGCAAGGCGCGGUACGUGUACCGCGAAGGAGAGUACCCUGAGAAAAAGCAUCGGCUAACUCCGUGCCAGCAGCCGCGGUAAUACGGAGGAUGCGAGCGUUAUCCGGAUUUAUUGGGUUUAAAGGGUGCGCAGGCGGACUGUUAAGUCAGCGGUAAAAUGUCGGUGCUCAACACCGGCCGGCCGUUGAAACUGGCAGCCUUGAGUGAGCGAGAAGUAUGCGGAAUGCGUGGUGUAGCGGUGAAAUGCAUAGAUAUCACGCAGAACUCCGAUUGCGAAGGCAGCAUACCGGCGCUCAACUGACGCUCAGGCACGAAAGCGUGGGUAUCGAACAGGCUUAGAUACCCUGGUAGUCCACGCAGUAAACGAU
This 797-nucleotide ribosomal RNA is filed under the name uncultured bacterium. Its description in RNAcentral is "bacterial SSU rRNA". It matches the Rfam family "Bacterial small subunit ribosomal RNA", at positions 25 to 810 of the family's 1533-position model. The record is from RNAcentral.